Poecilia latipinna (sailfin molly) is the source of this 2091-nucleotide RNA transcript. It is a transcript of the gene named aurora kinase A, with no coding region annotated. NCBI's taxonomy places the organism in Eukaryota, Metazoa, Chordata, Actinopteri, Cyprinodontiformes, Poeciliidae. The transcript has 10 exons. The record is from RefSeq and is a predicted model, not a curated record.
GUAGCCUGGGUAGGGUUACCUGGUUUAAAGCUGUUUUUAUUCUGCACAACAGCCUGUUGCGGUUGCUUUCGGAGACUGUGCAAUAAUACAUUUGGAUCAUGGACUCAUCCACCUCGUUCAAAGUGAUAAAGGGCAUGAAACCCCAAAGGCCAGAAUUAAUGUCAAACGGCAACGGACCGAAACGGGUUCCUGUGUCUCACCAUUCGCAAGGCAUUCAGAAGCCCGUAGUCACACCGACUCAGCAUCAGCGGGUUCUGGGCAUGUCGAAUGGGCCGCAGCGUAUCCAGCGGCCUGUUAGCCAGCAGAAACCAGUGCCUCAUGUCUCUGUAGCGGUCAAGCACCCUCCUCCUGCUGACCAGAAUGUAAACCCAGCCACUGUGAAACUAACUCCAGCACCACAGCCAAAACCCGUUUCCCAGCAUAACCAGCCAAAGACGCAUGUGCCAGCUGGCCACUCUGACUCGACCAAGCCUCCGUCGGAACCAGCAAAGCAGGAGAAGCCGCAGACCAAACCUGCCAAGACCAGUCAGGCCUCGUCAUCAAAGAAACCAUGGAGCCUGGAAAAUUUUGACAUUGGCCGUCCCUUGGGAAAGGGCAAGUUUGGCAACGUCUACCUGGCUAGGGAGCGCCAGACAAAGUUCAUCUUGGCCCUGAAGGUUCUCUUCAAGAAGCAGCUGGAGAAGGCGGGGGUAGAGCACCAGCUGAGGAGAGAAGUCGAGAUCCAGUCUCAUCUGAGACAUCCCAACAUCCUUCGCCUCUAUGGCUAUUUCCACGAUGCUUCCCGUGUGUAUCUCAUUCUUGAAUAUGCACCCAGAGGAGAGCUGUACGGCGAGCUGCAGCGCUGUGGGAGUUUCUCUGAGGACAGAACUGCAACAUACAUCAUGGAGCUGGCAGAUGCGCUCCACUACUGUCAUACGAAGAAUGUGAUUCACAGAGACAUCAAGCCAGAGAACCUGUUGCUUGGAGGUAAUGGGGAGCUGAAGAUUGCCGAUUUUGGUUGGUCUGUUCACACUCCAUCUUCCAGGAGGUCCACCCUGUGUGGGACACUAGACUACCUUCCUCCAGAGAUGAUCGAGGGCAAAACUCACGAUGAAAAGGUGGACCUGUGGAGUCUGGGGGUCCUUUGCUACGAGUUUCUUGUUGGAAAACCCCCGUUUGAAGCAAAAACUCACGAUGAAACCUACCGUAGGAUUUCAAGGGUGGAGUACAGUUACCCUCCACUUGCUUCCAUUAGUGCCGGAGCUAGAGACUUGGUGGCCAAGCUGCUGAAGCACAACCCCAUGCACAGGUUGCCCAUUGAGGGAGUCCUUUCCCACCCCUGGGUGCUCGAAUGCUCAACAAAGAAGCCUACAACGCUGAGCUCUGAAGAGUCCAGUCAGUGACUGUUCUCCCAACAACUGGCUGUGCCUACACAGUUUUGCAGAACGUUAACAUGCAGCUGAUUUUUCCACAACCUGCUUUGACUCUACAAAGAUUUUCACAAUGAGGAUUUUUUUUACCUUUUAGGACUUGAAUUGGACUGAGCAGCUGAUCAAAUUCAAGUACAGUUGUGCCCAGCAGAGGGCGCCAGACAACCACUGAAACAGAUUUUAUUUUUUAAAUAGUGUUUAUAUGAGUUGGUUUAUUUUUGAAGAUAAAAUCGACAGAAGCCUUUUUCUUGUUUACAAAAUGGAAAUGAAAACAAAUCUAGGUAAUGAAAGAUGGUUUCAUCAGUGGAUUUUAAAGUGUUUUAUAGUUUUAUUGGGUGGGGGGGGGGCUGAGGGGGGAGGCUAAAGCAAACUAUGUUGAUGGUCUUAACACAUUUAACUGGAACAGGAAAACACUCCUGUUAGUUUUUCAUCUGUUUUCUUUGCAUAUGCAUAAAUAAGUGUAUUCUAUAUUCUAAUAAGUGUAUUAAGCAUUCUCGUGUUUAAUAUUUGUUUUACAGCAGCACCGCAUCCAGUCUAGAAUAAUUCCACUUAAGAUGGACUGAUCUAUUUUUAUUUUAUUUUUAUUUUUUUGAUGGAUGGUUUUAUGCAGUACCUGUGAAGGGAAAAAAAUGUUUGAAGGAAAAUGUUUAAAAACCAGCACUUGAUGCACAUUCUAAAUCAG